Long non-coding RNA from Eupeodes corollae, 904 nucleotides. RefSeq lists it as uncharacterized. The record is from RefSeq and is a predicted model, not a curated record. The transcript has 3 exons. NCBI's taxonomy places the organism in Eukaryota, Metazoa, Arthropoda, Insecta, Diptera, Syrphidae.
AUAAAUUUCAUACUUACCCAAAAGUUGUUGACUUGUUGGAUGUUGUUUAUUUUGUGAUGUAGCUGUCACUUGCCUCAUUGUUGGUCUCCAUGGAAACUCUCCAUAACUCAGUGGAGAGAAAUUCCAUGGGAAAGCAAUGGGUGCGUUCCGGAAGAGAUCUGGGUUUGGUGUAUUGUCGUUUAAGUUGGUUGAAUUGUUAAGUUGCAUGUGAAGGAAACUUUGUUUUAUGUCCGUGUUUAGUUUUCAGUACUGACGGUUAAUGCAUGUCAUUGCAGUGGUUAGGUGGUUCGUAUUUAUACGUUUUGUGGUUACGUUGUUAUUAUGUGUAUGGAUUUUUUUUUUAAAUGUUCUGGUUUCAUGUGGUUCUGUGUUACAGGUCUCUCCGAUUUCGACCGUGGAACACACCCUUAGUUCUUGGGACACUGAUACCCCUAUUCUGUUGGAAGUGUUCUAAUACCUAAGUGGUUUCCCACUAUUUGAGUGUGAUGAUGUUGGUUGAGGGUAUAUGUAUGGAUAGGUGGAUCGGAUGAUGUGUUCCUGUUAGAGAUAGAAUACAUCAUCCGAAUAUUUUUUUUUGCCGGUGUUUGUGGGAUGAUAAUUUCUGCCCUCCCUCAUUUGGCCAUCUACCACACAGUGGAAUAAAAAGUGAGUGAUAGUGGUAAAAUUAAAUUCAAAUAUUAAAAAAGAAACAGUUGGACCACCAGAUUCUAAAAUAGAAAGAAAAGAUAUUUAAGAAAGUGAAAUAAGUGAAAUGUUAAUUGGUGCCAACAAUUUUGGAUAAAGGAACUCAGCAAACAACAAGUAAAGUUUGAUUCCCGGCGGCCCGAAUUAAAUCAUGGAGAGCGGGGCCGCCGCCCAAAAAAAAAAAAAAACAAAAUUUUUGAAAUUUAAUAAAAUUCAAAAA